AACAUAAUUAUUAUUAAUAGCAGCAGACCAUUACAAAAUCCAAACGACUACGUAGAUAUUGGCAAGCUUAUUUACUGCGUACAUUGCUUGCUAGCCACAAUAACAAGACAAUUUGAUUUCACUCAAUCAUCAUAAGAAGCAGGAACAGGCAAAAGUAGCAAUUGAAUGAAGCGAUCCAAUACUUUCAGUGCAUUUGCGUUGGCCAAAGUACUGUUUUUCACAUCUGAUCCAUUUGCGUAAUUUGAAACUCCAUUGAACAAAAUAAAUGGCAGUUCGUUUGUAUAAGCUCCCAAUGCCACAGCAACGCUCGAUUUAUCCACAACUGAGGUCUUAAAAGUGUUGUAAAGGAAGUUUUUGUAUGCUUCAUUGUUCACGUAUGUCUCUGCACUGGAGAUCCUCAAUCCAUGAACAACUUGAACUGAGUCGACCUCACAAAUCUCUUCUGCAAUCUUUUGCCAUUCUGGAGUAACGCGAAUCCAAAAACGUUCUUUGAAUGUCCCAUUGAUGUACGCCGUUGAUCUGUCAUACUGUACACUUCCUAGCCAAUUUUCUCCUUUCUCUGGAUAAUUAAACUCUCCGAACUUGAGCAGACCUUCCUUUGGUGCAUUGAUUGGCUGCCAAGUCCAAAGUCCAGUAGAGCCGAUUAAAUUGGGUACAGCAACAUUACCGAUGCUCAACGAAUCAUUAAGGGCUCCAGCACUCCCAAAAUAGAUGAUUCCAAGAAGAUUAAAUUUGGCAGCCAUGAUUUCCACUGUUAUGGCCACGUUAAUCGAUGGAUUAGCUGGACUAUUAACGAAGACAAAUUUACUUCCAUAAAUUGUUCCAAGCAAGAAUGUUCUUCCUUUGCAUACAACAGAUGAAUCAGGAUUGAAGAUACCAGAUUCAUUAAAUGCCUCCUCAGAGGAAGUGGCAGUCACAAUGAUCGCGUAAACUGAUAGUCCUAAGUCAUUGAUCUUCUGGACAGCCCCUUGCAGAGGGUUUUUCAUGCUAAGUUGCAUGGUGGGCGAUGCCAUAGCCAUUAGCCCCAUCACUAUCACUGCCAUUUCAACCGCCCAUAUCAUUCGUCGUGGUCCUGCCACGGCCAUUGUUUUUCCCUGGAGAGCUAGGUGUAGGAGAGAAGUGAACAAGAGAGAAAAAUAUUGAGUAAAUUAAGAAAAAUGCGAUGCUUAGAGUGUUAUAAGUUAGGUGGCUUUAUAUAGGGAAAUAUAGAUAUCCAUCACUUGAUAUGCAAGGUUGUUUUGAUGGUAGAGAGUUUCUCAAUUAAAUUAUAAGGAAUUAAUUUUGAUUUUGUUUUAGUUGAAGUUUAAUUUCAAUUGGCAUUUUUAGGAGUGAAGCUAGAAAAUUGAUUCAGAGGUCAAAAAAUUUUAUUUUAA
RNAcentral lists this unclassified non-coding RNA (1373 nucleotides) under Hevea brasiliensis (rubber tree). The record is from RNAcentral. Lineage: Eukaryota; Viridiplantae; Streptophyta; Magnoliopsida; Malpighiales; Euphorbiaceae.